Non-coding RNA from Schistosoma mansoni, 45 nucleotides. NCBI's taxonomy places the organism in Eukaryota, Metazoa, Platyhelminthes, Trematoda, Strigeidida, Schistosomatidae. The record is from Rfam.
AUCCAGCUGACGAGUCCCAAAUAGGACGGAACGCACGUGCUGGAU